RNAcentral lists this non-coding RNA (776 nucleotides) under Drosophila virilis. RNAcentral describes it as "Eukaryotic large subunit ribosomal RNA". It matches the Rfam family "Eukaryotic large subunit ribosomal RNA", at positions 1 to 647 of the family's 3401-position model. Lineage: Eukaryota; Metazoa; Arthropoda; Insecta; Diptera; Drosophilidae. The record is from Rfam by way of RNAcentral.
CAACCUCAACUCAUAUGGGACUACCCCCUGAAUUUAAGCAUAUUAAUUAGGGGAGGAAAAGAAACUAACAAGGAUUUUCUUAGUAGCGGCGAGCGAAAAGAAAUCAGUUCAGCACUAAGUCACUUUGUCUAUAUGGCAAAUGUGAGAUGCAGUGUACGGAACAUCAACAUUCUAGUAUGAGAAGUUAACGAUUUAAGUCCUUCUUAAAUGAGGCCAUUUACCCAUAGAGGGUGCCAGGCCCGUAUAACGUUAAUGAUUACUAGAUGGUGUUUCCAACGAGUCGUGCUGCUUGAUAGUGCAGCACUAAGUGGGUGGUAAACUCCAUCUAAAACUAAAUGUAACCAUGAGACCGAUAGUAAACAAGUACCGUGAGGGAAAGUUGAAAAGAACUCUGAAUAGAGAGUUAAAUAGUACGUGAAACUGCUUAGAGGUUAAGCCCGAUGAACCUGAAUAUCCGUUAUGGAAAAUUCAUCAUUAGAAUUGUAAUAUUUUAAACAAUAUUAUAAUAAUAGUGUGCAUUUUUUCCAUAUAAGGACAUUGUAAUCUAUUAGCAUAAAUAUUUAUCAUAAAAUUAUGUCUGAUUGCUUAUUUGAAUUAUAUGCUUGGCAUUUUAACAUAAAAUAAAAGAUAUAAAUUUGAUAAAGUGCUGAUAGAUUUAUCCCCUACCCUGCGUUAAUUUUUCGGAAUUAUACAAUGGCAUAAUUAUCAUUGAUAUUUGUGUUUAUUAUAUGCAUUUGUAUGAUUAACAAUGCGAAAGAUUCACGAUACCUUCGGGA